Molecule: long non-coding RNA, 683 nt
Organism: Daphnia pulex (common water flea)
Lineage: Eukaryota; Metazoa; Arthropoda; Branchiopoda; Diplostraca; Daphniidae
Exons: 2
Source: RefSeq, a predicted model, not a curated record
AAAAUUUAACACUUUGUUUAUUUAAGCAUUAAUGAACCUUCCACCAAAAAGGGGACAAAUGGAAACCAAAUUAUGCGAAUAACCAAAACACCAACGGAAGACAAUACAGAGGGAAAUACGAAUAUACCAGGCUAACAACAAAUUGGGCCACGCGAAGGAUGUCAUUUUUGUAUCAAAUCAAGCUCAGUGCGGCGGACAACAGAGCGGUGGAUGGAUAGUCCAGCGUCCAUCGUAUUGGUUGUGUUAAUUGAUGGAUGCAUUGAUUCAUGCUUUUUCACACUGUAACACCAAUGCUUUCAGACUUCUUAACACGCUGUGUAAACCUAAGUGGUUUCCCGGUAAUUCGUUAAAAUACAUGAUUUGUUUCCAUGUUGAAAUAAAAUGAUUUCAAUUAAGUGUAAUGUUUGAUGGUCAAUUUUUGAUUGCAGAUGAAUUCCUUUUUUUUUUGUGAAUAAUAUAUCCCAGUCUUGAAGGGAAUUAGAUCGACCUUGCCUCAUUGAAAUUCAGCAGCAGCGUCUACUUAUUGGGUUCUAUCUUGAGAAUCCGGCACGCAACUCCACAGGGAUGGAGCGGGGGGAUUCUGGCUGACGACCUGUCGACCGACUUACUACUACGGGGGUGGUGUUGUUCAGGUGUAAUGUGAAAAUAUUACUUACUCCAAAACUCUCCUAGUAAACAGGGGG